This 252-nucleotide ribosomal RNA is filed under the name uncultured prokaryote. RNAcentral describes it as "partial 16S ribosomal RNA". It matches the Rfam family "Bacterial small subunit ribosomal RNA", at positions 355 to 599 of the family's 1533-position model. The record is from RNAcentral.
CUAAGAAUAUUCCGCAAUGGACGAAAGUCUGACGGAGCGACGCCGCGUGGAUGCAGAAGGCCGCACGGUUGUAAAAUCCUUUUGCUGGGGAAGAAUACGUCCAGGAGGGAAUGCCUGGAUGAUGACAUGAACCGGCGAAUAAGCCCCGGCCAACUACGUGCCAGCAGCCGCGGUAACACGUAGGGGGCAAGCGUUGUUCGGAAUUACUGGGCGUAAAGGGCAUGUAGGCGGUUUAGUAAGCUUGGCGUGAAA